Molecule: ribosomal RNA, 174 nt
Filed under: Triticum aestivum (bread wheat)
Lineage: Eukaryota; Viridiplantae; Streptophyta; Magnoliopsida; Poales; Poaceae
Description: partial small subunit ribosomal RNA
Source: RNAcentral
AUGCUGAUUAUGUUGAUUGUGAUGUGGUACCUAUGCAAGCAUGUUCCUUAUUACUUGGUCGACCAUGUCAAUUUGAUAAAAAUCCUAUACACCAUGGUAGAAACAAUCAUUAUACUCUGGUUCAUAAGGAUAAAAAUAUUACAUUGCUUCCUAGGACUCCUGAUUCCAUUUUGA